RNAcentral lists this ribosomal RNA (268 nucleotides) under uncultured bacterium. RNAcentral describes it as "partial 16S ribosomal RNA". It matches the Rfam family "Bacterial small subunit ribosomal RNA", at positions 793 to 1055 of the family's 1533-position model. The record is from RNAcentral.
GUCCACGCCGUAAACGAUGGGUGCUAGGUGGUGCGGGCUUUGGCCCCUGCUGUGCCGUAGCUAACGCAUUAAGCAUCCCGCCUGGGGAGUACGGCCGCAAGGUUAAAAACUCAAAAGGAAUUGACGGGGGCCCGCACAAGCGGUGGAGCAUGUGGUUUAAUUCGACGCAACGCGAAGAACCUUACCAGCUCUUGACAUUUCCAGAUCGCCUUCAGAGAUGAGGGAGUCCUAGCAAUAGGCUGGAGGACAGGUGCUGCAUGGCUGUCGU